RNAcentral lists this unclassified non-coding RNA (274 nucleotides) under Hevea brasiliensis (rubber tree). The record is from RNAcentral. Lineage: Eukaryota; Viridiplantae; Streptophyta; Magnoliopsida; Malpighiales; Euphorbiaceae.
AAUUUGAUCUGGAUAUAUAUUGAACUUAUUGAUUGCAUCAUAUGAAUACUCCUCCGUUUUGUAUCUAUAGAUCUCGUUCAAUUUUUUCACAUCGAUCCAGUAGUAUUCCCUAAUAUGAAAUGACAAUGCUAGCAAUCGAUUGUUAAGUGCUCUAACAAGGUCUGUUGAUGCCUCCUCUGGAGCAAGCAUCUCCCGUGCACCAAGUAAGGCUGAAUAAUAUAACGCCUGAAUUUCCAGAGGGUGGCCAUGGAUUCCCAUGCGACGAUCUAUCAUG